This 598-nucleotide long non-coding RNA is filed under the name Mus musculus (house mouse). RNAcentral describes it as "RIKEN cDNA 2900076A07 gene". The record is from RNAcentral. Lineage: Eukaryota; Metazoa; Chordata; Mammalia; Rodentia; Muridae.
CUCUCUUCAGGUAUAUAUAUGUAUUACCUGAAAGCCCAGGGCAGUUGUUGCCUUGGGUCAUGCAGAGAAUAUGCAGCCACACCCAUGCCUUAGAUGUGUGUAAUUCAAGUGGAGAAGACACAAGCCAGUGGUCGCAAUAUCAACACUUGAGUGUUCUGUAAACGAUUAAUGUUUGCCAUGUGCAAGGAAAUGGCAGAGGCAAAAUGCUGGCGGCUUAUGGAAAAAUAAUUUAUAAAAAAAUGAUGGGUUAGUUCUGCCAAAUUUGAGUAAGUGAGAACACGAGAAACCAUAUUCUGUUAGAGCUUGAGAAAAGGAAGGAAAGUCAAACGGUGAGUCUAACCUCAUUUAUUCCAGGAUUGGUGUCAGCAGAAAACCAACAGUGAUGUGGUGGCACACAGUGAACUGACAGGACCCAGGCAGCAGCGGUUCUUUUGGUGGCAAUGGUGCCAUGUCAUGGGUACUCUCCUUGCUGAUGGCAGAUACCGACAGGCAAACUGUUGCCUUGCGUUUAGCUCUGUUAACCAUUGACAGUAAGGUAAGCAUGUCUUCAGCGUUCAUGGCUCUUAAAGAUCUUGUCUGUAACACAAGGGUUUAAGAC